UACGUAGGUGGCGAGCGUUGUCCGGAAUUACUGGGUGUAAAGGGCGUGUAGGCGGGUCUUUAAGUCAGAUGUGAAAUUCCCGGGCUCAACUUGGGAGCUGCAUUUGAAACUGAGGAUCUUGAGUGCAGGAGAGGAAAGCGGAAUUCCUAGUGUAGCGGUGAAAUGCGUAGAUAUUAGGAGGAACACCAGUGGCGAAGGCGGCUUUCUGGACUGCUACUGACGCUGAGGCGCGAAAGCGUGGGGAG
RNAcentral lists this ribosomal RNA (245 nucleotides) under uncultured Oscillospiraceae bacterium. RNAcentral's name for it is "partial 16S ribosomal RNA". It matches the Rfam family "Bacterial small subunit ribosomal RNA", at positions 524 to 768 of the family's 1533-position model. The record is from RNAcentral. Lineage: Bacteria; Bacillati; Bacillota; Clostridia; Eubacteriales; Oscillospiraceae.